UAGAGAUGUGGAGGAACACCAGUGCGAAGGCGACUCUUUGGUCUUAACUGACGCUGAGGCGCGAAAGCGUGGGGAGCAAACAGGAUUAGAUAGCCUGGUAGUCCACGCCGUAAACGAUGAGUGCUAAGUGUUAGAGGGUUUCCGCCCUUUAGUGCUGCAGCAAACGCAUUAAGCACUCCGCCUGGGGAGUACGGCCGCAAGGCUGAAACUCAAAGGAAUUGACGGGGGCCCGCACAAGCGGUGGAGCAUGUGGUUUAAUUCGAAGCAACGCGAAGAACCUUACCAGGUCUUGACAUCUCCUGACAACCCUAGAGAUAGGGCGUUCCCCUUCGGGGGACAGGAUGACAGGUGGUGCAUGGUUGUCGUCAGCUCGUGUCGUGAAAUGUUGGGUUAAGUCCCGCAACGAGCGCAACCCUUGAUCUUAGUUGCCAGCAUUCAGUUGGGCACUCUAAGGUGACUGCCGGUGACAAACCGGAGGAAGGUGGGGAUGACGUCAAAUCAUCAUGCCCCUUAUGACCUGGGCUACACACGUGCUACAAUGGAUGGUACAAAGGGCUGCGAGACCGCGAGGUUAAGCGAAUCCCAUAAAACCAUUCUCAGUUCGGAUUGCAGGCUGCAACUCGCCUGCAUGAAGCCGGAAUCGCUAGUAAUCGCGGAUCAGCAUGCCGCGG
This 671-nucleotide ribosomal RNA is filed under the name uncultured Bacillus sp. RNAcentral's name for it is "bacterial SSU rRNA". It matches the Rfam family "Bacterial small subunit ribosomal RNA", at positions 691 to 1362 of the family's 1533-position model. Lineage: Bacteria; Bacillati; Bacillota; Bacilli; Caryophanales; Bacillaceae. The record is from RNAcentral.